GGAUUAGGCAUGCAAGUCGUACGCGCAUGGUUCCUUCGGGGACCUAGUAGAGUGGCGGACGGGUGAGUAAUGCAUGGAUAACCUGCCCCUGAGAGGGGGAUAACCUUCCGAAAAGGAGGGCUAAUACCCCGUAAUGUGCGGAGCUGUAGGGCCUCGCACCAAAGAUAGCCUCUGAUACAAGCCUUCGCUCAGGGAGGGGUUCAUGUCCUAUUAGCUAGUUGGUGAGGUAACGGCUCACCAAGGCGGCGAUGGGUAGCCGGCCUGAGAGGGUGACCGGCCACACUGGGACUGAGACACUGCCCAGACUCCUACGGGAGGCUGCAGUCGAGAAUCUUCCGCAAUGCGCGCAAGCGUGACGGAGCGACGCCGCGUGGGCGAUGAAGGCCUUCGGGUUGUAAAGCCCUGUUACCUGCUAUGAAAAUCGGGCGGUGAACAGCUGUCCCGGUUGACCUCAGCAGGAGAGGAAGCACCGGCUAAAUACGUGCCAGCAGCCGCGGUAAUACGUAUGGUGCGAACGUUGUUCGGAUUCACUGGGCAUAAAGAGCUCGUAGGCGGUUGGGUAAGUCCGAUGUGAAAUCCCUCGGCUUAACUGAGGAACUGCAUCGGAUACUGCUUGACUGGAGUGCAGGAGGGGAGAGUGGAAUUCCUGGUGGAGCGGUGAAAUGCGUAGAUAUCAGGAGGAACGCCGGUGGCGAAAGCGACUCUCUGGCCUGUAACUGACGCUGAGGAGCGAAAGCCAGGGGAGCAAACGGGAUUAGAUACCCCGGUAGUCCUGGCCCUAAACGAUGGGCACUAAGUAGAGGGGUUUU
RNAcentral lists this ribosomal RNA (809 nucleotides) under uncultured Planctomycetota bacterium. RNAcentral describes it as "bacterial SSU rRNA". It matches the Rfam family "Bacterial small subunit ribosomal RNA", at positions 46 to 832 of the family's 1533-position model. Lineage: Bacteria; Pseudomonadati; Planctomycetota. The record is from RNAcentral.